AACGUAGGGGGCCAGCGUUGCUCGGAAUUACUGGGCGUAAAGGGUCCGUAGGCGGUGUAGCAAGUCGGAAGUGAAAUCUCUGGGCUUAACCCAGAGGCUGCUUCCGAAACUGCUGUGCUAGAGUGUGAGAGAGGCGAGUGGAAUUGCGGGUGUAGCGGUGAAAUGCGUAGAUAUCCGCAGGAACAUCCGAGGCGAAAGCGGCUCGCUGGAUCACAACUGACGCUGAGGGACGAAAGCUAGGGGAGCAAACAGG
This 253-nucleotide ribosomal RNA is filed under the name uncultured bacterium. RNAcentral's name for it is "partial 16S ribosomal RNA". It matches the Rfam family "Bacterial small subunit ribosomal RNA", at positions 524 to 776 of the family's 1533-position model. The record is from RNAcentral.